AUGGAGAUGGUUGUCUCUGCGAUUGCAGGUGACCUAGUUAACCGGUUCAUAUCCUUCUUGAUAAAGAAGAACGAGAGCCAUGCAAAUCUAGAUAAGAAGGUGGAAAGGCUACAACAGCUGCUUCUUCGAGUUCACAUGGUCAUCGAGGAGGCCGAGGGGCGAUACAUCACCAACUCCAGAAUGUUGCUUGAGCUCAAGAAGCUUUUAGAGGCCAUGUACCAAGGUUACCAUGUCCUGGACACCAUCAAAUACAAGGCCCUUUGUAGCUCAAGGGAUGAAAAGGAGGUUAGCAGCAGCUCCAAUACCUUGUCGCUCUCGAAUUCUAUCAAGUGCUUUCAUACCAAUUCUACCAACUGCUUUCAUACCACAAGGAGCACUACUACAAUUUUUCAUGACCUUGAUAGUGUAUUGGAGAACUUAGAAACCAUGGUUUCUAACAUGACAGAGUUUGUCGUGCUUGUUGGAGGAUGUGAGCGCAUGCCUCGUAGCCCUUACGACACGUACCUCUACAUCGACAACUUCAUGUUUGGUCGUCAAGUAGAAAAACAGCAAAUCAUGAAUGUUUUGCUGCAAGAAAAUAUUCCUCCUUUCGCUCCAACUGUUCUUCCGAUCAUCAGCACCAAUAGAGUGGGCAAGAAAACUCUAGUCGCGCAUGUUUGUAACAAUGAUAGAGUUAGAUCACACUUCUCUUUGAUCUUGCGUCUGAAAGGGGAAAGCAUUCACAAAACUGAGCAUGGAGCUUUCUUUCCAACUGGGAGGACUUUGGUUGUGCUUGAAUUUACUUCAGACAUAGAUGAUGUUAGUUGGCAAAAGUUUUAUUCCACAACUAGACGUAUGGGAAAAGGAAGCAAGAUCAUCAUCAUAAGUAGGAUCGAGAGUGUAUCGAGACUCGGAACCAUAAGGCCGAUGCACUUAAACAGCUUGUCGCUGGAGGAGUACAGUUACCUCUUCAAGGUCCUUGCAUUCGGAAGCACAAAUCCAGAUGAUCACCCCCGGCUAUCAUUGGUAGCGAGUGAGCUAGCUGUGUUGAUGGGAGGUUCGCUCGUGGUAGCAAAUGUGUGCGCCGAUAUCUUUAGAAAGAACCAGAAUCUUCAGUUCUGGCAACAUAUCCUCAACAAGUACAGAAACUUUUUGGCAGACAAUCUCUCGGUGUUUUGUGAACAUCCAAAGCUUCUCAUCGAGAGAGAUCGCCCGGUGGAUAUAGCAAAACUCGUGUCAUCGACCUCUGCUCCGCUUCGCCUCAUGCCACCGCACUGCGAAGACGACGAUUCUACGAGGGAUUUGCCCAAGGUGAGGUAUGGGGACCUGAUCGCCGGCUCCGUUGUUCCGCCGAAGGAGAAGUUUGAGCUAGUAGGUUGGGAGUCGCGGAUACCACCAUAUAAGAAGUAUGUCAAUGUGGCUAUGUUCUCUGGUGAGGUGAAUGUUUCGGAACAUGUGGUCUCACCUUGCAAGAAGCGCAUACGAUUUAGUUAG
This 1473-nucleotide ribosomal RNA is filed under the name Triticum aestivum (bread wheat). RNAcentral's name for it is "partial small subunit ribosomal RNA". Lineage: Eukaryota; Viridiplantae; Streptophyta; Magnoliopsida; Poales; Poaceae. The record is from RNAcentral.